AUUGAACGCUGGCGGCAGGCCUAACACAUGCAAGUCGAACGAGUGGCGGACGGGUGAGUAAUGUCUGGGAAACUGCCCGAUGGAGGGGGAUAACUACUGGAAACGGUAGCUAAUACCGCAUACCAUCGGAUUUGCCCAGAUGGGAUUAGCUAGAAGGUGGGGUAACGGCUCACCUAGGCGACGAUCCCUAGCUGGUCUUAGAGGAUGACCAGCGACACUGGAAUUGAGACACGGUCCAGACGCCUACGGGAGGCAGCAGUGGGGAAUAUGGCACAAUGGGCGCAAGCUUGAGGCAGCCAUGCCGCGGGUAUGAAGAAGGCCUUCGGUUUGUAAAGCACGUUCAGCGAGGAGGCGUUACUCGCCGAAGCAGUACAGGCUAACUUCGGGCCAGCAGCCGCGGUAAUUC
This 406-nucleotide ribosomal RNA is filed under the name uncultured bacterium. Its description in RNAcentral is "partial 16S ribosomal RNA". It matches the Rfam family "Bacterial small subunit ribosomal RNA", at positions 30 to 526 of the family's 1533-position model. The record is from RNAcentral.